RNAcentral lists this ribosomal RNA (467 nucleotides) under uncultured bacterium. RNAcentral's name for it is "partial 16S ribosomal RNA". It matches the Rfam family "Bacterial small subunit ribosomal RNA", at positions 28 to 506 of the family's 1533-position model. The record is from RNAcentral.
GACGAACGCUGGCGGCGUGCUUAACACAUGCAAGUCGAACGGAAAGGCCCUGCUUUUGUGGGGUGCUCGAGUGGCGAACGGGUGAGUAACACGUGAGUAACCUGCCCUUGACUUUGGGAUAACUUCAGGAAACUGGGGCUAAUACCGGAUAGGAGCUCCUGCUGCAUGGUGGGGGUUGGAAAGUUUCGGCGGUUGGGGAUGGACUCGCGGCUUAUCAGCUUGUUGGUGGGGUAGUGGCUUACCAAGGCUUUGACGGGUAGCCGGCCUGAGAGGGUGACCGGCCACAUGGGGACUGAGAUACGGCCCAGACUCCUGCGGGGGGGAGCAGGGGGGAAUUUUGCACAAGGGGCGGAAGCCUGAUGCAGCAACGCCGGGGGGGGGAUGACGGCCUUGGGGUUGUAAACCGCUUUCGCCUGGGACGAAGGGGGGGUGACGGUAAUGGGUAAAGAAGCACCGGCUAACUACGU